This 499-nucleotide ribosomal RNA is filed under the name uncultured bacterium. Its description in RNAcentral is "partial 16S ribosomal RNA". It matches the Rfam family "Bacterial small subunit ribosomal RNA", at positions 28 to 507 of the family's 1533-position model. The record is from RNAcentral.
GAUGAACGCUGGCGGCGUGCCUAAUACAUGCAAGUCGAGCGAACAGACGAGAGUGCUUGCACUCUCUGACGUUAGCGGCGGACGGGUGAGUAACACGUGGGUAACCUACCUAUAAGACUGGGAUAACUUCGGGAAACCGGAGCUAAUACCGGAUAAUAUUUAGCUUCGCAUGAAGCAAUAGUGAAAGACGGUUCUGCUGUCACUUAUAGAUGGACCCGCGGUGUAUUAGCUAGUUGGUGAGGUAACGGCUCACCAAGGCAACGAUACAUAGCCGACCUGAGAGGGUGAUCGGCCACACUGGGACUGAGACACGGACCAGACUCCUACGGGAGGCAGCAGUAGGGAAUCUUCCGCAAUGGACGAAAGUCUGACAGAGCAAUGCCGCGUGAGUGAAGAAGGUUUUCGGAUCGUAAAACUCUGUUGUAAGGGAAGAACAAGUACGUUAGUAACUGAACGUACCUUGACGGUACCUUACCAGAAAGCCACGGCUAACUACGUG